UUGAACGCUGGCGGCAGGCCUAACACAUGCAAGUCGGGCGCGAAAGGUUUUCGGACUGAGUAAAGCGGCGGACGGGUGAGUAACGCGUGGGAAUCUGCCCAGUAGUGGGGGACAACAGUCGGAAACGACUGCUAAUACCGCAUACGCCCUACGGGGAAAAGGGGGGGAUCUUCGGACCUCUCGCUAUUGGAUGAGCCCGCGUCGGAUUAGCUAGUUGGUAGGGUAAAGGCCUACCAAGGCUACGAUCCGUAACUGGUCUGAGAGGAUGAACAGUCACACUGGAACUGAGACACGGUCCAGACUCCUACGGGAGGCAGCAGUGGGGAAUAUUGGACAAUGGGGGCAACCCUGAUCCAGCCAUGCCGCGUGUGUGAAGAAGGCCUUAGGGUUGUAAAGCACUUUCAGUGGGGAGAAAGGUUUGUCACCUAAUACGUGAUGAAAUUGAUGUUACCCACAGAAGAAGCACCGGCUAACUCCGUGCCAGCAGCCGCGGUAA
This 496-nucleotide ribosomal RNA is filed under the name uncultured bacterium. Its description in RNAcentral is "partial 16S ribosomal RNA". It matches the Rfam family "Bacterial small subunit ribosomal RNA", at positions 30 to 523 of the family's 1533-position model. The record is from RNAcentral.